Molecule: long non-coding RNA, 300 nt
Filed under: Solanum tuberosum (potato)
Lineage: Eukaryota; Viridiplantae; Streptophyta; Magnoliopsida; Solanales; Solanaceae
Description: long non-coding RNA (STUB_LNC001020)
Source: RNAcentral
UCUUACUCUUCAUAGCGGAUUACACUUCAGGUUUGUCUAAUUCUUCAUUCGUUUUUUCCUUCAGUUCAUCUGAAGAACUUUAUUCUUUAUCCAAAAUUCAGGUUUGCCCAAUUCAAGGCUUAGUAAUAAAAUGAUAAAUAUAGAAAUAUUCAUAUGUAGCCGCUUCUUCUUGCUUUCUUUGUUCAAUUAUCAUAGUUUCUUGAUUUGAGAUUUAGUAAAGUGAAAAUCUAAAAUGGAGAUAAAGUUUAUUUUUUGUUUAUGAAAUAUCAAAAUUAGAGUACAUCCUUUACCUGAAUGGAN